GCACAAGCGGUGGAGCAUGUGGUUUAAUUCGACGCAACGCGAAGAACCUUACCUGGGCUCGAAAUGUACAGGAAUCCGGUGGAAACAUCGGCGUCCCGCAAGGGACCUGUAUAUAGGUGCUGCAUGGCUGUCGUCAGCUCGUGUCGUGAGAUGUUGGGUUAAGUCCCGCAACGAGCGCAACCCUUAUCUUCAGUUGCUACCAUUUAGUUGAGCACUCUGACGAAACCGCCUCGGAUAACGGGGAGGAAGGUGGGGAUGACGUCAAGUCCUCAUGGCCUUUAUGUCCAGGGCUACACACGUGCUACAAUGGCCGGUACAAACCGUCGCAAACCCGUGAGGGGGAGCUAAUCGGAAAAAGCCGGCCUCAGUUCGGAUUGGAGUCUGCAACUCGACUCCAUGAAGCUGGAAUCGCUAGUAAUCGCGGAUCAGAACGCCGCGGUGAAUACGUUCCCGGGC
RNAcentral lists this ribosomal RNA (456 nucleotides) under uncultured bacterium. RNAcentral describes it as "bacterial SSU rRNA". It matches the Rfam family "Bacterial small subunit ribosomal RNA", at positions 923 to 1379 of the family's 1533-position model. The record is from RNAcentral.